Molecule: long non-coding RNA, 1085 nt
Organism: Lolium perenne
Lineage: Eukaryota; Viridiplantae; Streptophyta; Magnoliopsida; Poales; Poaceae
Source: RefSeq, a predicted model, not a curated record
UUUGUUGCUCGAACUUCCUAGCAUCGGAUCAAUAUGUGACAGAGAAUGUGCGCAAGGAGGAGCAGAACAGCCGUGGUGCAAGACUGACGCGGAGGUGCUCGUCCAUGUGCCACCUGAAGGCAACAUUGAUAGAAGCAGUUAACUGAAUUUACUGAAGAAAGCGACAGCCUUGACUGAAUUUCGCCAGAGAAACACGCUCGACGGACAGCGCCGGCGCCGGUGUGCUGGGAGCAGUGGCGAGGUGUGCAUGCAGUGUAGCAGUGAUGCGCGAAGGGAACAAAUACUACGCGGGCGUGUGUGCAGUGUAUUCGUUUCCUUCUAGGGAUCAUCCCAUUACGUUUUUUGCUCCAUAUCAAUUAGAAUGCCCUUCCAUGAUUAUAUGGAUCUAAUAUUAAUUGAGCAUAUUCCGAUUGAUUUUCUGUUGUGAUGAAAAUGGAUGAUAUCCCACCCUUCCAUUUUUAGUUGCAUUUUCUGUUGGGUGUGAUAUCAAUCACCUUUAAUAAUUGUGUAUUUGUUUCCUUCUAGAAAUCAUCUCAUUCCUUAUUGCUCCAUAUCAAUUACAAUGAUCCUCACGUUGACUCAAUCAUAGUGAUUUAAUUUGUCAUGCUGGCUAUAUAAUUCCCUCCAUAUGCAGCCAGAGCCAACACACAAGUCCUUUCCCUUACCUCAUGGACCACUUGGCCGGUGUCUAGGUUUCUGACGCUGCCAAGCCGCCUCUUCGUCAAGCCCGCUGGACGGCAAACUCCAGGAACAAUAUGUCCGAAGUGUUCGAUCUCCCAAACGGAACUAUCAUUGAUGUUUCCGGCGUCGUGACGUAUGUCGGCCCAGCUGAGGCUGAUUUUUGUGCCCCUAGCGGCAUGAGGGAGAUCGCUAUAGUUGAUAGCGGACACAACACAAUCUUCCUGCGUUUUUUUUGGUGAGUCUGCUUAUCUACUCGGCGAUCAGCUGUUAUCUGCAGAACAGAACAAUGCAGUUGUUGUGGCCUCCAACAUGGAGGUUGUUCAUCAAUCAAGUAAGCUAAUUACUUAUUACUUAUGUACUCAAAUUUAAAUAUUAAAUCCAGAUAUGUUGACUUUAUUGAUUAU